Molecule: unclassified non-coding RNA, 20 nt
Filed under: Dictyostelium discoideum
Lineage: Eukaryota; Evosea; Eumycetozoa; Dictyosteliales; Dictyosteliaceae
Source: RNAcentral
ACCAAGUCUGAUGAUCUUGC